UGGGGAAUUUUGGACAAUGGGCGAAAGCCUGAUCCAGCAAUGCCGCGUGUGUGAAGAAGGCCUUCGGGUUGUAAAGCACUUUUGUCCGGAAGGAAAGUCCUUGGCUCUAAUACAGUCGGGGGAUGACGGUACCGGAAGAAUAAGCACCGGCUAACUACGUGCCAGCAGCCGCGGUAAUACGUAGGGUGCAAGCGUUAAUCGGAAUUACUGGGCGUAAAGCGUGCGCAGGCGGUUUGCUAAGACCGAUGUGAAAUCCUCGGGCUCAACCUGGGAACUGCAUUGGUGACUGGCAGGCUAGAGUAUGGCAGAGGGGGGUAGAAUUCCACGUGUAGCAGUGAAAUGCGUAGAGAUGUGGAGGAAUACCGAUGGCGAAGGCAGCCCCCUGGGCCAAUACUGACGCUCAUGCACGAAAGCGUGGGGGAGCAAAACAGGAUU
Molecule: ribosomal RNA, 435 nt
Filed under: uncultured bacterium
Lineage: Bacteria
Description: partial 16S ribosomal RNA
Rfam family: Bacterial small subunit ribosomal RNA
Source: RNAcentral